CAAGACACCUGUAUCACCAGGAGGUGAAUGAGGAGGCUGCAGCAGGAGGAGGAAUUCUGCAGUGGCUCAGGUGUGGAAUAUAUCACUGGAUAUACACAGGGGACUUCCUUAAGGUGUGGAUGUGUACUUAAAUGCUUGGAAAAGCCUUCAGUAUGCCAUUUCACCCUCCUAUCUUCAUCAAACCUCCUGAAGAUGUGUUCUCCAUCUGGAGAUGAUUAACUUCACAAUUGAGCCACAAACCACGGGAUUGGGCCUUGGGGAGCGGCAGCAGCACAGGGCGCCCCCUGCAGGCCCGCCUGUUAACCACAGCCAUCGAAUACAAGGCAUGAAAUAAAAAUAAAAACGUGCCGAUUUUGGUUUUAAUAAAUCCGUUCUUUCCUUAUA
Prinia subflava (tawny-flanked prinia) is the source of this 384-nucleotide long non-coding RNA. RefSeq lists it as uncharacterized. The record is from RefSeq and is a predicted model, not a curated record. The transcript has 3 exons. Lineage: Eukaryota; Metazoa; Chordata; Aves; Passeriformes; Cisticolidae.